GCUGGAUCAUCCAGUCGAGCAGACGUACGAAUGGGCCAAUACAUAACGUACGUCGAAACCGACAGUACGUACGGUACGCAAUAAACUGAUAACUGCCUUGCAAGGCAUGGCGAGCAAUUGAAGGUAAUGCCACAUUGAUGCGAUUGCCGGACGGGAAUUACGUACUAUACUAGCAGUGCUAAUUACUGUUUCUCUAACACACACAAGAGAUUGAAGACUCGCUGAAUGCAAUUCUACAAUCGAAUGAGAGCCAGGGAGAUUGGAUGGACCACCACAUGUCCACACUCCACGAGUACACGAGACCACAACAACCUUCGGCCACAUCCCCAACCUCUGGAUUACGCGGAGUAGAUAACACCUCAGUUCCCCCACAGAAACCACGAGUACUGUUGAGACUUGAGAGUCGAUCGUACGUUGAUCGACUCUCAAGUCUGAAUAGUUGGAGACGACGACAUAUGCACGAUUUAUUAGCAACCAUCAUGUUCCAAACCAAAACGAUUUGCCAUCCCGGCUAAGAGUGCACAGGGUUUUUGUUGCGGAGUGGUCGGGCGGGACAGCAGACGGUGGGCGUUGGGACGUUGGUACUUGCAGGCUUGCAGCAAAGUUGACUUGCACCGUUGCACGGCAGCAUGGUGGCGCGGCGCUCCGCAUCUGACAUCACCAUUCUCAGGUGAGGCGGCCGCGCGAGCGAGUGGGAGGACGCCGCGCGGAGCCAGCGGUCCAUACUGGCCCAUAGGCCAUACCUCGUCAGCAGCGUAAAGCUCGCAGGAAACGGGCUCUCAACUCAUGAUGCUUAGGCCUAUUUCGUCGUAACAGUCACGACGGGCCUUUUAUGCCAACUUCACUCGUGCCAACGGCCC
Molecule: long non-coding RNA, 860 nt
Filed under: Setaria italica (foxtail millet)
Lineage: Eukaryota; Viridiplantae; Streptophyta; Magnoliopsida; Poales; Poaceae
Description: long non-coding RNA (SITA_LNC002902)
Source: RNAcentral